Molecule: non-coding RNA, 1665 nt
Organism: Ictidomys tridecemlineatus (thirteen-lined ground squirrel)
Lineage: Eukaryota; Metazoa; Chordata; Mammalia; Rodentia; Sciuridae
Source: RefSeq, a predicted model, not a curated record
CUUGGAGGUCACUCGUAAAGACACUGGAACAUUUGUUUUCCAGCCCGGCCUCCCUUCCAGCUGUGUGGUACACUUGAUCCAACACAAAGUGCACAUAGCUUCCAAUUGAAGAUACAAAAUGGCUGCUCUGUCCCUACCAUUACAUCUGCAUUCCAGAAGUGAGAGAGAAUAAAGGGGCAAGAAGGUGAGAGCACAAUUUGGAAAUGGCUCACAUCACUCCCAUUCCUAUCCCAUUAGCCAAAAUCUACACAAGUCCACAUCUAGCUGCAAGAGAAGUUGGGAAAUAUGGUCUUUUAUUCUGGGUGAUGGUAUGUCUGGGUGUAUUUUGGGGUAUGGAAUAAGGAAUGAGCUGUUGGUUCCACAAAGGAGGUGGGGUGAGGACCAGAGUUUCCAACCUCAGCCGUUGGGUCAGGUCCUGGAGCUGCAGGGAUGAGCAGCUGACCGGUUGAGCUCAUCCCUGACCCCUUCUCUCUUGCGGAUGCUUGGCUGUGGAGAGUAUCCUCAGAAAACUGCACUUCCUGUGCCAGGGAUCCCAUUUGCUCUUUGGAGUACUAAAUCCUCACCUGUGGACACCCAGGGUGAGAGCCCUGGUCAGUUUAGAAGAUGCCCUCAGCCUGUGUGGAGAGCUCUGCAUCUUGUUGGCUGUCCUGUCCCUAGGGCCUGCUUGUGUCUCAGUGCAGAGGCCCUCGGUGAGCAAUUGCUAAAGGACUCAAGAUGUUUCUGGGUCACGACCGUGGUGUGACUGUCGCUGCGCUUGAUAUCUCCUGAGGCCUCCUGAGGGCUAAGCAAACACCGUGUGGCAGUCCCCAAAGACAAUGGAUGAUGGACUCAGAGAAAACAGGGCCAGAUGGUAGUGUUCUUGACACUGUGGGCCAGAAGAGCCCUGUCACCUCUGGUCCACUGUAGCUCAACAGCAAACUUGGGUGGUAGCAGAUGAGCCAGGAAACCCCAGGAGAUGUCAUUACAAAGGGAGGUGCAGUUCUAACGUGGCCGCCCCUUCACCUGGAAGCCAGAGUUGCGCUGGGGGUGGAGAGGUGCAGCGCACCCUUGCAGACUGAGGUAGGCACCUGGGAGACGCUGCAGGGGAGGACGUGCCUGGAUAGCCCUCUGGGGUGUGGUCUGCUCAGUCCUCCUCUCCAUGGACAGGGAUCCAGCAGAGCUAAGGGUGGCCAUGGCUAAUGGGACCAGGGUGGACGCUGAUCUGAGGGGGCACUUGGAAUAGGGACUUGGUUCUUGUUUUAAAAUCUUAAGCUGAGCGCACAAGGACACACACGGAGCUGGGCCGGCAGGAGAGGCUGGCCACAGGGGGCCCCGAAUGACUGGCGAAUGGGGAGGGGCCCCAGCUCCCUGAGACCUGCUGGGACCCUUCUGUAGGCAGUGACACUUCCAGGGGACCAAUCAUCCUUCUGGGGCUCUCAGGCUCACACUCCAAGGGCUCAUUUUUCUGAAGGCGCUCAGGACUUCUCCUGGCUCCAUGAAGAAUGUGGAAUACUUGAAAUUUCCACUCACACACUCCAGGAAAAAACACAUUAACCUUUAAGAAGGGAAUAAUGGCUUCGUUUUCAAGUGACCUUAUGGAUUAACCCUCGACAAGCCCUUCUGGAGGAAGGGUGGCCCUCGGCAGGGACCUAGUGGGUGCAGAAGAUAAUAAAGUGGUGAAAACUA